GACGUAGGGCGCGAGCGUUGUCCGGAUUUAUUGGGCGUAAAGAGCUCGUAGGCGGCUUGUCGCGUCGUCCGUGAAAACCCGCAGCUCAACUGUGGGCUUGCGGUCGAUACGGGCAGGCUAGAGUUCGGUAGGGGAGACUGGAAUUCCUGGUGUAGCGGUGAAAUGCGCAGAUAUCAGGAGGAACACCGGUGGCGAAGGCGGGUCUCUGGGCCGAUACUGACGCUGAGGAGCGAAAGCGUGGGGAGCGAACAGG
Molecule: ribosomal RNA, 253 nt
Filed under: uncultured bacterium
Lineage: Bacteria
Description: partial 16S ribosomal RNA
Rfam family: Bacterial small subunit ribosomal RNA
Source: RNAcentral